This 74-nucleotide transfer RNA is filed under the name Rattus norvegicus (Norway rat). RNAcentral describes it as "tRNA AY172581.18 (ENSRNOG00000032609.4)". It matches the Rfam family "tRNA". Rfam says of the family: Transfer RNA (tRNA) molecules are approximately 80 nucleotides in length. Their secondary structure includes four short double-helical elements and three loops (D, anti-codon, and T loops). Further hydrogen bonds mediate the characteristic L-shaped molecular structure. tRNAs have two regions of fundamental functional importance: the anti-codon, which is responsible for specific mRNA codon recognition, and the 3' end, to which the tRNAs corresponding amino acid is attached (by aminoacyl-tRNA synthetases). tRNAs cope with the degeneracy of the genetic code in two manners: having more than one tRNA (with a specific anti-codon) for a particular amino acid; and 'wobble' base-pairing, i.e. permitting non-standard base-pairing at the 3rd anti-codon position. The record is from Rfam by way of RNAcentral. Lineage: Eukaryota; Metazoa; Chordata; Mammalia; Rodentia; Muridae.
UAGAUUGAAGCCAGUAAGUAGGGUAUUUAGCUGUUAACUAAAUUUUCGUAGGAAUUUGAUUCCUUCCAAUCUAG